Molecule: long non-coding RNA, 992 nt
Filed under: Lactuca sativa (garden lettuce)
Lineage: Eukaryota; Viridiplantae; Streptophyta; Magnoliopsida; Asterales; Asteraceae
Description: long non-coding RNA (LSAT_LNC006153)
Source: RNAcentral
CAACCCACAAUAAAUAAUCAUAUUUAAUUUCCACCAACCAACAAUAACCCAAUUACCCAUUCCCGUUAUUCUCACUUUAUGUCCCUAAAACAACUAACACAAGGGACCUAGUCUAAGAAUAUUUCAUUGGGGCGACAACACAUGCUUCGGGGGUACCUCAGCAAUAUAAGUCAAAUAAGGCAACCAUGAGGGGGAUGGAGUACAGCGAAUGAACACCCAAGUUCAUUAACACCUACAGGUGGCGAACCUGCUAAUGUUUCCACAAGACUGUCUAGAAUAGCCAGUGGUCGUCAUCUAAACUCCGCUAGAUGACUCAAUCAAACAACAACGAGGCCUCUCAUCUGUUUAUUACACACCAACUAUCUACCCAUGUUCUACCCAACAUAUUAGUAGAUAAAAAUAUACAUUUUUAUACAUAGUUUAAAAACCUGUAUAGCAUGCUUUAAUCAACACAUAAUCCACAUAACAUGAUAAGUUAAAAUUAACUUGAAGAUCGAUUAGAUCUUAAACAGGUAAAGAAAUAAAAACGUAAACAGCAAGAACACUUGAAUGAAUCAAAAGUGUCGAAUGAUUUAUAAACAAUCCUCAGAAGAGCUCGAUAAAGAACAUCAACUGUAGAGGACUAAAAGGUUUACAAGAACGAUAAAGAAAUCUGCAAAGCUAUCGUAAUUCUAUAAAUUGUAUUCUAGAUCGUUAACCUAAUAUGCAUGCAAGCAUAUUAUUAUAUAGUAAACCCUACAAGCUCACGGUUGGAUAGGCCCAAACCGCAGUGCAAAACUGGACUAUAAACCGAGCCCAAUGACGCAAUACAAAAUAAUUCCUACGCUACCCAACAUAACAGAUGAGGCACACACACACAUAACACAUAUCUCAUAGAGAAUAAAUCAUAUCUAUGAGAUAGAAGAGAGUGAAUAUACAUUCACACAUAUAACAACAAAACAUAUACACAUAGCACGUAUUUUAUAUAAAAUACUUUAUAAUAAUGUGAUGGA